AACGAACGCUGGCGGCAGGCCUAACACAUGCAAGUCGAGCGGGACCUUCGGGUCUAGCGGCGGACGGGUUAGUAACGCGUGGGAACGUGCCCAAAGGUACGGAAUAGCCUCGGGAAACUGAGAGUAAUACCGUAUGUGCCCCUCGGGGGAAAGAUUUAUCGCCUUUGGAUCGGCCCGCGUUGGAUUAGGUAGUUGGUGGGGUAAUGGCCUACCAAGCCGACGAUCCAUAGCUGGUUUGAGAGGAUGAUCAGCAACACUGGGACUGAGACACGGCCCAAACUCCUACGGGAGGCAGCAGUGGGGAAUCUUAGACAAUGGGGGAAACCCUGAUCUAGCCAUGCCGCGUGAGCGAUGAAGGCCUUAGGGUUGUAAAGCUCUUUCAGAUGGGAAGAUAAUGACGGUACCAUCAGAAGAAGCCCCGGCUAACUCCGUG
RNAcentral lists this ribosomal RNA (433 nucleotides) under uncultured bacterium. Its description in RNAcentral is "bacterial SSU rRNA". It matches the Rfam family "Bacterial small subunit ribosomal RNA", at positions 29 to 507 of the family's 1533-position model. The record is from RNAcentral.